Pipistrellus kuhlii (Kuhl's pipistrelle) is the source of this 642-nucleotide long non-coding RNA. RefSeq lists it as uncharacterized. Lineage: Eukaryota; Metazoa; Chordata; Mammalia; Chiroptera; Vespertilionidae. The transcript has 2 exons. The record is from RefSeq and is a predicted model, not a curated record.
AUAAGACGCAGGGACUUUUUCCCCCCACUUCUGGGGGGAAGUCUUAUGGUCCGAAAACUACGGUAAUUCAACAAAUACUAAGCUUCUACCAUGUGUCAAGCACUUGGGCUACAAAAGGCCAUUCUUGUGUGGAGCUUUCAUCUUUGUGGGGAAGGAGGUGUGGGAGACACAAUAAACAAAUUAAAUAUGCAAAACACACACUAAAUUGGGUGUGGCGUUUUCUAUGGAGGAAAAUAAAGCAGGAAGCUCUAUGAGAAGGUAGAAUUUGAGCAGUGACCUGAAGGUGGUAACAAAGUGAGCCAAGUGGAAAUCUGGGGGCAGAACUGCGUUCUAGGCCAAAAACAUUAACAAGCACCAAGGUCUUGAGGUGGUGCAUGCCUGGUGUGCCAGGAAACAACAGGGAUGGCAGUGUGCAGGAGAGAACAUUUGGCAGAUCAUUAGGGUCUUAUAGGCCUUGGUUUUGGCUUUUACAGAGUAAGAUGGGAAACCAGUGGAGCGUUUUGAGUAUCCAGUGAUGUGAUUGGAUAUAUUUUAAUAGCAUCAGCAAUGGGCAGACUCAGAGAGACCUCUUAGGACGUUAUUGCAAAAUUCUAAAUAUCAGAGUAUGGUAGAUUGUAACAGGAUGGUAGCAGUAGAGGUAGU